Molecule: ribosomal RNA, 1908 nt
Filed under: human gut metagenome
Description: bacterial LSU rRNA
Rfam family: Bacterial large subunit ribosomal RNA
Source: RNAcentral
UCAAGCUAGAAAGAGCGCAAGGGGAAUGCCUUGGCAUCAGGAGCCGAAGAAGGACGUGACAAGCUGCGAUAAGCUGCGGUGAGCUGCACAUAAGCUUUGACCCGCAGAUUUCCGAAUGGGGAAACCCGGCAGAGCAAUACUCUGUCAGCGUGCGUUGAAUCAAAUAGGCGUACGCGGGGAACCGCCUGAACUGAAACAUCUAAGUAGGGCGAGGAAGAGAAAUCAACCGAGAUUCCGCUAGUAGUGGCGAGCGAACGCGGAAGAGGCCAAACCGGAGGUAGCAAUAUUUCCGGGGUUAGGACUGCAAUAUGUAACUUUAAUCUUUAACUGAAUGCUUUGGGAAGAGCAGCGAUACAGGGUGACAGCCCCGUAAGUGAAAAGGAUUGAGUGCUAGCAGUAUCCAGAGUACCAGCGGACACGUGAAACCCGCUGGGAAGAUGGGGGGACCAUCCUCCAAGCCUAAAUACUACUCAGUGACCGAUAGUGGAGCAGUACCGUGAGGGAAAGGUGAAAAGUACCCCGGGAGGGGAGUGAAAAAGAACCUGAAACCUUGUGCCUACAAGCACCGAGAGCACGUUAAAGUGUGAUCGGGUACUUUUUGUAGAACGGUCCGGCGAGUUAAUAUUUGCAGCGAGGUUAAGGAACUGGAGUUCCGGAGCCGCAGCGAGAGCGAGUCUGAAAAGGGCGUAUGAAGUUGCAGGUAUUAGACCCGAAACCGGGUGACCUAUCCAUGAGCAGGCUGAAGCGGUGGUAAGACACCGUGGAGGGCCGCACCCACGUCUGUUGAAAAAGCCGGGGAUGACUUGUGGAUAGCGGAGAAAUUCCAAUCGAACUCGGAGAUAGCUGGUUCUCCCCGAAAUAGCUUUAGGGCUAGCGUUAUUUUAGAUUACCGGAGGUAAAGCACUGAAUGGUCUAGGGGCCGCGAGGUUACCAAAGCCUAUCAAACUCUGAAUGCCGGAUAAUUGAUGAAUAGCAGUCAGACUGUGUGAGAUAAGUCUCAUAGUCAAAAGGGAAACAGCCCAGAUCUACAGCUAAGGUCCCAAAUGAACACUAAGUGGAAAAUGAUGUGAAACUGCGAAGACAACCAGGAUGUUGGCUUAGAAGCAGCCACUCAUUCAAAGAGUGCGUAAUAGCUCACUGGUCGAGUGGUUUUGCGCAGAAAAUGUAACGGGGCUAAGUGUUCAACCGAAGCUUAGGCAUUGCAGUAAUGCAUUGGGUAGGGGAGCGUCGUAUGCGGGGCGAAGUCAGAGCGGAAGCACUGGUGGACUGCAUACGAGUGAGAAUGCCGGAAUAAGUAGCGAGAAUUAUGUGAGAAUCAUAAUGGCCGAAAAUCUAAGGUUUCUUGGGGAAGGUUCGUCCGCCCAAGGUUAGUCGGGAGCUAAGCUCAGGCCGAAAGGCGUAGGCGAUGCACAUACGGUAGAAAUUCCGUAACCACCGAACAUUUAAGCUAGAGGGACGCUUUCUUUAAGGUUAUCCCGGGCGAUGGUUGCCCCGGGCGUAAGGGACCGAAAUAUAGUAGGGAAGUAACUGGCGAGAGAGACGAGAAAAGCUCUAGUGUAUACUAAGGUGCCCGUACCGCAAACCGACACAGGUAGAUGGGAUGAGUAUUCUAAGGCCAACGGGAGAAGGGUUGUUAAGGAACUCGGCAAAUUGGCCCCGUAACUUCGGGAUAAGGGGCGCCUGCGAGAGCAGGCCGCAGUGAAAAGGCCCAAGCGACUGUUUAGCAAAAACACAGCUCUCUGCUAAAUCGAAAGAUGACGUAUAGGGGGUGACGCCUGCCCGGUGCUGGAAGGUUAAGGGGAGUGCUUAGCGCAAGCGAAGGUGCGAACUUAAGCCCCAGUAAACGGCGGCCGUAACUAUAACGGUCCUAAGGUAGCGAAAUUCCUUGUCAGGUAAGUUCUGACCCGC